CUUUGUUUAUAUGUGUGAGCUUUUUGUUUGUCGAAAAUAUUAUCAUCUCUCACAUAUAUUUGAGUGAAAAAGCUUUUAAGCAUUAGCCUUGAUCGGAGAGAAGAAAGAGUGGUGAAUCCUGUGAGGUUUGAAUCAUACUUGUUGGAUACAUGCUAAGCUCCACCCAUCACCAUUGUCACAUCCGUGUCUUACAUGCUUAUAUGUGGAAUAUAUGUUUUAAUUAACUCUUGAAUUACUUAUGAUUGAUUCUUGGUUGCAUGCUAAUCUUGAUGCUAUGAAAGGACUAGCAAAAGCUAAGUGUGGGGGAAUUUGAUAGGAGCAUAAAUGCGACGAAUAUAGUGUGAAAUCCCUUACACUUUUCUUAGCUAUUUCCUUUAAAAAGUCAGUUUUAACUUUAUUUUCUUUUUAGGUAGUUCGUGAAGUGAUU
This 427-nucleotide long non-coding RNA is filed under the name Rosa chinensis. RNAcentral's name for it is "sRNA RchiOBHm_Chr4g0444451". Lineage: Eukaryota; Viridiplantae; Streptophyta; Magnoliopsida; Rosales; Rosaceae. The record is from RNAcentral.